AAAGUGGAGAUGGUAACGAACCAGUGAUGAGGUUCAUAUCAGAAGGAACAAUGCAUUCAUCAUAUCCAGUGUCAUCAUCCUCUCCCGUUUCCGCAGGAAGGCGCGUGCCGUGUCCGCUGUAGUGCACGAACAGCACGUCUCCGGCCUCCGCCGAUCGAAUCAGUGAGGUCAACGCCGACCGGAUGUUCUUCCCCGUGGGCUCCUUGUACGAUUUGUCCGUGUCGAUCAUAACGGUGAUGUCGUCUUUGGAGAAGCCGUAACGGUCGACGAGGCACCGGUGCAUUCGCCACACGUCGUUGAUGCAACCUUUGAGCUCCGCCUUGGUACCCGGGUAGUUGAUUCCGAUCAACACUGCCUUUUUGGCCAUUGCAAUAGAGAGCAGGUGUGUGAAUCUCUCUCUCUUUCUCUUACUUUGUUUUACCUCAGAACUGACGAAAGAAAGAGUGUUUGUUCUUUUAUAACAAAAACAACUUUUCAUUAAUUUCUUUUUUCUUCUAAGCCUUUAGUCAAUAAAUAAUAAAUAUUCUCAAUUAAUAUUUAUUUUGCUUUCGUUAAUGGAAAUUGGAAAAAUUGAUUAGCCAAAUUAAUAAGAUUAUUAUCAGAGCUCAUUACGUGGGUUUAGUUUAAGUCUGCACGCGUUAAUAUAUACUGUAAAAGUAUCUGGUCUGUAUAGUGCACGUUUUAAAUGAACUUUAAUGACUAUAAUCAAUGUCUAAUUUCUAAAAUAUCAAAGUUAAAUGAUUCACACGUAAUAUAUUAUGAGUUUUUAUAGUAUAACUUAAUUAAUGUAUAUUACUUCAUAAACUUCAUCAUUUUUACCUCAGUUUUUAUUAAUUUGUUCAGUAUUUAUAAUAUGUGUAUCUAAUUAAAUCUUUAUCGUCAAUUAAUUGAGUGAUGUAAGUGUUACUUUAUACUAAGUCCAUUAAUUCAACUUGUUAUUGACACAAAGUACAUAAAUUUGUAUCUAAAAUCACAUUUUUUUUUUCAAUUUGGGUGUUGGAGUAGUGAGUAAAAUCUCGAAGCACAUAAACAAUAUCAUCUUUAAAAAAUAUGUUGUUGACACGUCUGAAGUGUUUACAAUGGUUCAACUAAAGGUUUAGUCUUAGAUUUCUUCAAAAUCUUGUUUUGGUUUGUUCUCCUAUUCUAGUUGGUGUUUGGACUUUUUGACUUCUAUGAAGAUAGUUUCUUGAUGUCUUGUUUGAGAAUUUUUAUUUUAUUUGGUUGUGUGGCUUUGUCAGUACGGUAAGUUGUAGGAGGAGGAUAAAGUGCAAUGUUGAACCACCCGUAAGUGGUUUAUAUUUAUUAAUUUUUUAUUAUUAAUAAAAACAAACAUUUCUUUUUUACAAUUUUUUAGUUUAAAUUCUAUUCAAGCCAAUUUUCAUACAAAAUCAUAAAAGUUACUUAUUUUUUCACAUUAAUUCCAAUAUUGUGUUAUAUUAAUUAUAACAUUUCACAUUUGUGGACAUAAAUAAGUGCAAGAUAGCAACCACGUUACUCACUUAAUGAAAAAAUUAAACAAAGAAUGAGUUGAAAAUAUCCAAACGAGAAACUUAAACUUAAUUAAGUUUAUAAUAUUAAUUUGCAUAACAAUAAUUUACUUAAACAUUAAAUAAUGCAUGAUGAAUGUAAAAAACAACAAUUAUCCGAAAAAAAAUAAGUUAACCACCCUUAAUUAGGAUUAGACGGGUUUAUGAAUUUUUGCUUAAAUACCAAACUCUAAUAUUAUUAUCAUAUUCUUUUUCAUACCUUAAAAAUGUAAAAAAAAAAAAAACAGAUAGAAAAACUACUUCAGAAUAAUGUAAAACUGUAAUUAAAAUUAUUAAUAAUUUUAAUACUAUUAAUUAUGUUAAUUAAGAUUUAAUAUUUUUUUCUUCUGUUAUUUUAUUCUCUAAAAAACUCAAUUUUUGUUUUAAAUUUGUGAAUUUUUUUAUAGUAGUAUCUGAAUUUCUAAAAAAUGUUAAAUAAAAUCCGUGAAUAAUGUUAAGUUUGCUGAGGAAUGUAUUCACACGGUAAAUUGUCAAUCGUAUCAUUCAACUUUUAUUAAUUCACAUAUUUUACUACUUAAUUGACCUAUUUUCUCAUUACAUAUAUAUAUAUAUAUAUAUAUAAUUUUAUAUACUUCACUGAUAUCUUAAAUGGGAAUGGAAUAUUGUCAUGUUCCUAAAACGACUUUACUGAUGAUAAUUGAGGUUUAAAAUGAAUAAUAAAUUAUAAAAUGGUGAGACUAUUAUUUCUUAUAUUAAAAGUUAAAAUGUUAAUAAUUUUGAUGUCAAAGAUUUAUUUGAUUUAUUUUUUUCUAAUUUUAAAACCUAACAUGAGAAACACGUUAUUAUUGUUCUCUGCCUGGUGUUGUCAUAGUGUGCUGGCAUCGCUAUUAUUUUGAUAUUUUAAAUUAAAAAUAAUAUGGUUUUGUAAUAAUUCACAGCAGUUCAAUGUACCUCCCCAUCUUCAACAAACCAUUAACUCAUUGCAAUAAUAUUUAUUUUAUUAAAAGCUUUAGGCAUCAUUAUAUAUAUAAUUUGACAUCUAAGCUUUCACAUUUAAUAUAAUUUAACACUUUGAAGUAAUAACAAUAUUAUCAUAUAAAAAAAAUAUUAUUAAAAAAAAAAAAUAUGAAAAAUUAAACAAAAACGUAUAUGUUAACAAAAACGAUACAUAUGUAGACUAUAUCUAUCAUAAACUAAAUGAAAACCUAUUAUACUAAUAAAAUGAUUCUCUAUAAAUAAAUCAUAAAUUAAUCAACUUAUCAGUACAUACCUUUUCUUCAUGAGAAUGAGUCAUUACACUAAUAUUUGCUCAUUUGCUAAUUAACUUAAUUAAUAUGUCAUUAAAAUCAUGUUUUUUUUUAUAAAAACUUUUAUGUUAGGUAUCACUAUGCGAAUCUUAAAAUCAUAUUUUACAAAUUUUGUGAAUUACAUUACUAGAUAAAGAUUUGUGUUCUACAUAGUUACAUAAGAAAUAAUUUUUUUUAUGUAAAAAGAAAUUCAAAAUUAAAGAAAAUUUCCAAAAAAAAGUGUGUAGAUUAGUUAAAAUAAAUUUUUUUAUUGUUAAUAUUUCACUAAUAUAUAUUCAUAACAAGAAAGAGACACCAUUUUCAUUUAUAAUUCAUUAUUUGAACUUUUAAUAUACAUUAAGAUGGAAGAUUGAAAUUGAAGACGAUAAUGAUUAUCUAAUCAGGGAGAAAUGUGGGUUAAGUAGAGAUUAAACUUUGGAAGUUCCAUGAGUUUAAGGUCAUUUCUGGAAUUCUGGAGCUACUAAAACACACUACCUCCACAAGGUUAUCUAAUCUCUUACAUUUGUUUAUUUAUGUUUUGAUUUAGAUACAUUAGUAUGAAUUAAAAUAUUGUAGAAAUGAGAUUAUUUAAUGAUAUGAAUAAAUAGAGAUCAUGUUAAUUUUGGCUCAUAUGGAGUGUUUAAUAGCCUUUUUGGGUUGGAUGAUGACUUUAUGAAGUUUAGAGUGUAAAACUAGUUGUCUUUGUUAGCAAAAACAUGAUAAGAAUGUUUAAUUUUUUUGUUAAAUUAAAUGGUGUAACUAACUUGACUGUGUUGUUUCCUUUGAUUUUGUAUUUAUUUCUUGAACAACGCUCAACAAUGAAUGCUAAUUAUUUAUACUAAAUAUUUUCACUUAAGCAGUCUCUGGAUACCCAAACAACAAUAUCUUUUUCUUAAGCAAUGACUUGACGCAUAGUAAAAGAGUUGUCGAAAAACAUCUCUCUUAUUUGGGACUUUCAACGCUCAAGCGACAAGUGGUUACUCAAGUGAUGAAAGAUUUAUUGAAUGAUAAGAUUCAUCCUUUGAGCGAUAUUCUAUCACUAAAGCGAUGCACUUUUUGAAGAGAUAGAAUUGACAUUAAAUUUUUUCACUCUGCUAAUGAUACAAAGAUAAGUUAAGCUCCUAUAAGAUGCUAAGUCUCAAUCUUCUAGUCUUGCUAUUAACACUAAGUUUUGAUCAUAACAAAUAAAACAAUUUUGGUUCAUCUAAUAUUAGCUACCUAGUGUGAAACAAGUACUAGAUGAAAUCAAAAGACGACGUCUUAUCACAAACAAUGAGCAAGAUGUAAGAUGAAGAUUCAAGUACAAAUGCAUUGGCAUAUUAACUUGAAAUAGGCACUUAUCAUAGAAGUAUAAAUAGAUCAACAAUGAACGCGUGAAAUGACUAGACGACCAUGUCAAGAAUAGGCACACAAAUUCGUUAGCAUAUACCUUGUUAUCAUAGAAGACUUUAAUAUUAGAUGUAUGUCUUAAAAGAUUAAACUACAAAAAGGCUUGAAGAAACCAAGUUAAAGUAACCUUAGAUGAGGAAAAAUGUAAGUAAAGACUGGACACAUAGAACAACAAUAAACACAUACAAUAUUAGGUGCUAAAGCAAAGAACAAAUGAGUCUUCAAAAUCAUGAAGAACAAACAACUUAUUUAUAGUAAAAUAGACGUCAAAACAUAUGUGUCCAACACUAGACACAUCAUUGAGAUGUUACAUCAUCAAAAGCCUACAAGUUAACCAAAAACAUCUUUCAAAGAAGAUUUUCAUACAUAGUAUCAUUCAUCAAUGUGCGAAAGCUCAUUUUUGGUAAUGUUAGUGAUACACAAAUUUCAGAGAGAUAAAGUGAGUGCUUUAGUCAUCUCAUCAUACUAGAAAACAGAGAAUGCCAACGAAAAGCCAUGAAUCUUUGAAGGCAUUGACUGAAGAUACUUUGAAGCACACAACCUUCAAUGGUUAUCUCUUGACAUCUAAUAUAAGAAAAUAAAUCCAUCUAGAAAAUGCUUAAGGUUAUCAAAAAUAUUUUCCAUAAGCCUUACAUGCAUGAGAUUAUUUUGAAAAAGCUUCAAGUGUUGAAAAUGUAGUUCAUCUUCUAGAUGACUUAGAUAGAAAGUGAUAUUUGUAAAAUUUUAAUUAUUGUGAAAUAGUAUCUCUAGAGCAAGGAAAACAUAUUAUUUCAUAUCCAUUAGUGUGUAACUUGUAAUCAAAUAUCAUCUCUUUUCAAUUCCUUCUAAAUUUUAUGAUUUGAAAGAUGAAAGGAAAACAAUUCAUUAAUCUUAGAGAAAAAUAAGAGAAAACAACGUUUUUGAGAUAUUACCAUUUAAAAUAAAAGAAGAAUAAAAUAUUAUAUAUAUAUAUAUAUAAUUGUAUAACAAAAUAAUUAAAAUAUUCAUUCCUCGCUUAUAUAAUCUUUUAUUUAUUUUCAUUAAUAAAAGUUCUUAAAUACUUUAGUUGCGUUCUAAAUAUUUUGUGCAAAUAUUAGUUUCAUUUAAGUCUAAACAACAUCAUCUAUUUUGAGAAAAUCUUCUUUUCUUGCAUAUAUAUAUAUAAUACAAUUAUAUUGUUUAUUUAGUUAUUUUUGCACAUACAAGUAUGUGUGCCUAUUUGAAAGCACAUUGCAUAUGAUAAGUAUGCUAACUUAUCAAUGUGAUCUUCUGUGUAGUUGAAACAAGAGCAUUAAAGACAUAUGCUUAUUCUCUCUAAAGGCACAACUAAUGCAUUAUGUUUGUUUAUUUGUUUUGCAAAGAAUUUUCUUGGUAAAGGAAAUCAACUUUACAUUAUUUCAUAGCUAAUAUUAAAGUUUCAAAUACUCAAAAGUCAAGUUGCAUCAGAAAACAUACUUUAUAGUUGAAGCCUCUUUGAAUCACUUGUAAAAUCUGAGUCAUCUACUUUUUGUGUCAAAGUAAAGUGACAACUCCUGAAAAAGAAGCUAAAGGUAAUGCUCAGUAAAAAUAAGCAAAUUGAGUUAUCAUAAAAGGAGACUGGUUAGUUAAACAUAUUUAAUAUGCUCUUAUGAAAACAACUUGCAAUGAUUUUAAUGCAAAGUUAUCAAGUACUCCAAUAUUAAUCUCAAUAGAUGAUGACCAAUGAAGAAGUUGAAGUCAAUGAGACAAUGACUAGUUGAAGCCUCUCUUAGUAUAAAAGGGAGAAGACAGAGAACAAUAAUACACUAAUAUAGAGAACCUAUUCGUGAAAACACUUUGCAUAUCAUACUCAAAAGUUCUAAAGGAGAUUUAAUAAGUCUCAAAUUAAUCUUGUUUUUAUGUAGAGUGAGUUUGAAUAACAAUGGACAACAAUGAAGAGAUUUCCUCCAUUUCUCCUAUUUUCUGAACGCCUGAAAAAAGAGAUACAACUAAACAUAAUAUAGUAUACAACCUUGUUCAACAAAAUUCAAAUCCUCACAAAGCUCAAGAAUAAUUCAAAUGACACAAAAUUUAACACUAUAUUUUAUAAUAAUUUCACUUACACCAAUGUGUUCAGAUUCGAAAUCUGAGGUCUGGAGCAUGGACCUUGUUCUGAUAGUUCAGUCUCCCAGCACAAUGAAUAUAACAAGAAAGACACUAUAAUUUUAUUUGUACAUACCUGAUAGCAGAGCAUGUAUGAAAGCAAUAACUUCAUUUUCAUGGUCCAAACAUACACAGCAAUACAUAAGCAUAUAGUAUAAACAACUAAACAACACACAUUAUUCUCUCUCUUUCUCUGCAUCAGAUAGGCACAGAUCAACACACAAAAGGAGCAUCAACAUGGUGAUCACUGCAGUAGAGUCCAGGUUUCUGAGUGAAACCCUCCUUCUUGAGCUUCUCUCGUGCUUUCUGAACAAGUUCGUGGUUUGUGAUUGAACCAUUACUCUCCUCAAUUAUUGCCUGUAUUGCAUUGCUAAAAGCUCCAUAAGCAUUGGCAGCGUUUCCUGGAGGACUUGCAUCUGCAGAAGUUUGGUCACUCUGACAUCCACUCAUCAGAAUCCCACCAGCCGGAAGGCUGUGUUUGGAUGAUCCAGCAUAUGCCUCCUGCUUACUUUCCACACGUGUCUCCAGUGCAGGCUUUGCAUAUCCCUCAUCAUUCUCAUCAAUCUUAUGCUUGAGAAACUCUUGGGCAAGACCACCCACCAACCCCAAUAUUCCACCCCCACCUUCACCACUUCCUUGUUGGAGUUUAUUCAAAAUAACAUUCAUGAACUUCACUUUAGGACUAGAAUCUUCCCCAAAGACAUCGAAAAGGGUAGGUCUGAGUUUCCCAACAUCAAUAUCAUCUUUCCCAGUUUUCUGCUUGAGUAUGUCAAUGAGGGUUGAAAGGGGCAAAGAUCUAUUCUUCACAUAGCCAUAGUUCCCAUGUGGAAGAUCAAUAUCUCUAUCUUCAGCCUCAUCAUCAUCAUCCCUGCCUCUGUGGUGGCGCAAACCUGAAGGGAUAUGGAAUCCGCGAGACUCAAUGGCAUCUUCCACCUUCCGAUGCAGAAAGUUUGAAAAUCCAAAGCCAGAGCCAGACUGUUCUUCCUCUCCCUUUGUACUCUCUCCGAUCUGCUCCUUAGCUUCUUCAAGUAGGCCACCACUGUGGCAAGAAUCAGACACAAUUGUGAUCCUGCAACCUCUAGGGAUCCCAUCCACAAACUCCUUGAAAUCAUCAUCUGUUUUCACAGACAUACACAAAUAGUCAGUUACUUCCCACAAAAUUUCAUGCCGAUGCAACAAUGUUCCAUCUCAAACAUAACAAUUUACUUCUACUAUGUUUGAAUAAAGUAGCUAUUAACAUAAGAAUUAAGAAUGAUUUUGGCCUGGGAUAAUUCCCUGAAUCAGUUUUCAACAAAUUCCCUGAAUCAUCCAUCAUCUGUUCGCACAGACCUACGCAGAUAGUUUAUUAUUCCCAAAUAAAUAAAGGCAAUGCAAAAGUGUUCUACCAAAAAACACAGAAUACUGCCAUUAUUUUCCAAUUAAGUUGGAAUUACUCAAGCAAACACAGCAUGAACAUAGGGCUAAAGAAAAAUCAGGAAUCAGCUCAUUUUACUAAUUAAACAGAUCCAUUAGUUUUCCAUUUUUGACCAAGGUAGACCAAAUUUGCUCUCAACUCGGGAAACUCGACAAACGUAAUCAGCACCCAUUAAAGUAAAAGGAUUAAUAAAUUAAUUUAAUCUGUGAAAUAACAAGCAUCAGUAAGUGAGUGUAAUAUUCGUAUACUAUCAAUAUAAUCUAUAAAAUUAUAUCGUGAAUAGGUUAGAAUUUAUAAAUAAUGUUCGAUAUGCUUGCAGAGUAAUUAUCACAAAAUGUUAGUAAUUUGAAUUAUAAAAUAUUCUAUAACUGAAUGAUAUUAUAGAAAAAACUUCACAUUGUCUAUGUAUGGGUAACAUCACUGAAAGAAUUUAAUUUUCAUAACUAAUAAAAUAUGGUACAUGAUAGAUAGUGAUUGCUAACAUGAAUAAAAUCUCAAACAAUUGUAAUCUAUAUCUGAAAGAGUGUUUUAAUCUUUUUUAAAAUUAUAAGGGGAUGAUUCCUUCUUCGUUUAUAGCGCAAAGGGAUAGAACAACUCUAUAAAUUGAAGGCACUAAUCUGGUGUAUUUAUAAAGUCAAACAUAAACAUUCCCCAAGACGCUGUCACAAAUCUACACUGUUUUCACGCGCAUACAAUCAGAUCUAGUUCAACUUUUCCUUCAUCUCAAAACCCAGAAAACCAAAAGAAAACAAACAACUCAUCAAUUCCAACAUCUUUUUUGAGUCAACUACAAAAACCAAAUUCUUUCAAAGAUCAAUUAUACACGACUAUAAUCAAUUGUAAUCAGAAUAAUUAUUUUUUUCGAUCAAUUCGGUAAGAUUCAGUUCUAAAAUAAUUAAUUUUGUUUAAAAGUAACAUAAAUUCUGCUUCUACAUAGACAAAGAGCAAUUAUAAAUUAUAAAUUAUAAAUUAUUUUUCAGAUUUUCUUUUCCAGAACAGUUUAUUUAUUUAUUUUUACAUCAAAAGCAGUUGAAACUGAGAAAAGUAAUCUUCCCCAAACAUGUCCAAAAGAAGAAAAGCAGUGAUCAUAACCACGCAGCAAAAACCAAAAUAGAACAAAACAAAAAACGGAUCCAGUAGUAACGAACCAGUGAUGAGAUUCAUAUCAGAAGGAACAAUGCACUCAUCAUAUCCAGUGUCAUCAUCCUCUCCCGUUUCCGCAGGAAGGCGCGUGCCGUGUCCGCUGUAGUGCACGAACAGCACGUCUCCGUCCUCCGCCGAUCGGACCAGUGAGGUCAACGCCGACCGGAUGUUCUUCCCCGUCGGCUCCCUGUACGAUUUGUCCGUGUCGAUCAAAACGGUGAUGUUGUCUUCGGAGAAGCCGUAACGGUCGACGAGGCACCGGUGCAUCCGCCACACGUCGUUGAUGCAACCUUUGAGCUCC
Molecule: long non-coding RNA, 9120 nt
Filed under: Phaseolus vulgaris (common bean)
Lineage: Eukaryota; Viridiplantae; Streptophyta; Magnoliopsida; Fabales; Fabaceae
Description: long non-coding RNA (PVUL_LNC000405)
Source: RNAcentral